AGAGUUUGAUCCUGGCUCAGCCUGAACGCUGGCGGCGUGCCUAACACAUGCAAGUCGAGCGCGAAAGCCCCGCAAGGGGUAAGUAGAGUGGCAAACGGGUGAGUAACACGUGGGUGACCUGCCUCAGAGUGGGGGAUAACGACCCGAAAGGGUCGCUAAUACCGCAUAACAUCCUGCCUUUGGAUAGGUGGAGAUCAAAGCCGGGGAUCGCAAGACCUGGCGCUUGGAGAGGGGCCCGCGGCCGAUUAGCUAGUUGGUGAGGUAACGGCUCACCAAGGCGGCGAUCGGUAUCCGGCCUGAGAGGGCGGACGGACACACUGGGACUGAGACACGGCCCAGACUCCUACGGGAGGCAGCAGUGGGGAAUUGUUCGCAAUGGGCGCAAGCCUGACGACGCAACGCCGCGUGGAGGACGAAGAUCUUCGGGUCGUAAACUCCUUUCGAUCGAGAAGAAUGCCUUUGGGUUUAAUACGCCUGAAGGGUGACGGUAUCGAGAGAAGAAGCCCCGGCUAACUCUGUGCCAGCCGCCGCGGUAAUUC
RNAcentral lists this ribosomal RNA (539 nucleotides) under uncultured bacterium. RNAcentral's name for it is "bacterial SSU rRNA". It matches the Rfam family "Bacterial small subunit ribosomal RNA", at positions 8 to 526 of the family's 1533-position model. The record is from RNAcentral.